This 1712-nucleotide ribosomal RNA is filed under the name Triticum aestivum (bread wheat). RNAcentral describes it as "partial small subunit ribosomal RNA". The record is from RNAcentral. Lineage: Eukaryota; Viridiplantae; Streptophyta; Magnoliopsida; Poales; Poaceae.
GGUAUGGAACAGUGUAGAGGGUGAAGCGCACCGUCAGCAGUUUGGUUCAGAGCGUGCGGUAGAACCGUUCGUGAGAGAGGAGGGGGUGGCGCGGCGGCUCGAGGCGGAGGCCGGCUGCGUUCGUCGGGUGGAGCCUGCUUAAGAAGAAGGGGAUGGGGAGCAUAGAUGGCCCUACCGCAGCCCACCUCUAGGGGGUAGGCCCAAGCGACUACUCUCGUUUUCAUUUUUUUGUCUUCCUAGUAGGUUGCUUCCAGUUCCCCAAGGAGGUCGACGACGACGUCCGAACAGCCCAGGAAAGCUAAAAAGAAGAUACGUUUCAAACGAGUUACUAGGCAGAUAUUUCCUCUACCGCCUAGUCUAACGUUCCCUGGGACGUAAGUUAGUCUACCGACUCGUCGAUGUCUUUCCACGAGUCUGACGUCCUCUUGUCCCGUACGGAGGUAACCUAGGAGUAGUUAUGUACCUUUGUUACGUUUCCCAGUACCUUUUGGGAGUCAAAUACUGUUACCGUCUCGCGGAGCCCUGACGAGAAUACGUCCUAGGACGAUACAGGUCAUACGACCUUUUAAACUGAUCAGGUAGUGUAUUCCUCCUCGAACUUCUCGCGUACAGAGCCUAAUUCCUGCUAGGUCGGAACUUCGGUUAAGAACUACUCAAUCUCUUACCACCAGGACGACGUUACUAUUUCAUGACCUUACUGGGACUUUGAGAAGUUUUCUAACCGGUCCGUUACCCUUGAUGCUACGGUAAAUCGUGACAGAGAUGACGACUUGGAAGACCAUGACUUCUUUGACUUCUUCUUCCACUUCUACUUCUGCUCAGGUAACAGGUGGUGUGACGGUCACAACCACUGCCACUCCCAGACUUCUUCCGAGAUCUACCACCUCGUCUGUUCCUACUUCUUCUGAGACUCCCUUCUUCCCGGAACGUGAAACGUACACCUAUACCACUCAAGUUCACACGCCUUUAGGAGGAACUCCGCCCGCGACGACAUCUACGGUACCUAUUCUUGUUCUUGUGGGGUGACGUAAUGCGACGACCGAUACCGGCCUUUCUCACACACCUAGAAGACAACUUCGUGCCGCGACGACAGUGAGAGGUUUUGUACCUACCCUUCUGCGGGUAGCUGCAGCGGUUCGACUUGUUGGUCCUGCUCCAGGAGUUCGACGAGCUCUUCCUGCACAAGGACAUUUAGUGAAGUGAACCGGGGGUACUUCUCUGUACCUGCAGUAGUACGAAAUGUAAGGAACCGUAACCAAAAUAUAUCAGUAUGAACUUAGCCGUAAAAUAAGCAACACAUUCUUAGAUGAUGGACACCAUCGAUCGGACGUCCGGCUGACCGACUCCAAUCUUGACGUACAAUGACAUAUACCGCUGAACACAUAGCAGGCGAAACAAAGACAACUAAAGUGAUCUCAUUAGGUUCUGACAUUCUAAUAAAAAACACAACGCGUCUCAAACUUCUACCAUACGCACGGCAAAUGACCUUUCUAUUUGACGCUAAACUUUGGGACUUAGAUGGGUCAGUUUAGGUACCGUUAUUUUACCUAUGACCUACGUUAGAGAAGGUGGGGUACUUUUUCGGCAAACUUGGAACCCCUAGCCCAAAAACCACAUCGUAAUGUCCCUCUUUAACGUAAGUGGAGGGUUGUCUUGACGAGAUCACAGCAGCCGAGGGGACAGAGGUGCUGCCACACAAUUUUUCACGGAGC